UAAAGCCCACUUGAUGAGCCCUAGGAGC
This 28-nucleotide non-coding RNA is filed under the name Rattus norvegicus (Norway rat). The record is from RNAcentral. Lineage: Eukaryota; Metazoa; Chordata; Mammalia; Rodentia; Muridae.